AACGCAUUGUGGUUGAAAUGAUAUGAAGAACUUGUUCAGAUUUGAUUUUCAACAUUGCAAUGAGUGGCGAACGGGUGAGUAACACGUGGGAAACCUACCUCUUAGCAGGGGAUAACAUUUGGAAACAAAUGCUAAUACCGUAUAAUAAUUAAAACCGCAUGGUUUUAGUUUAAAGAUGGUCUUGCUAUCACUAAGAGAUGGUCCCGCGGUGUAUUAGUUAGUUGGUGAGGUAAUGGCUCACCAAGACAAUGAUACAUAGCCGAGUUGAGAGACUGACCGGCCACAAUGGGACUGAGACACGGCCCAUACUCCUACGGGAGGCAGCAGUAGGGAAUCUUCCACAAUGGACGAAAGUCUGAUGGAGCAACGCCGCGUGUGUGAUGAAGGGUUUCGGCUCGUAAAACACUGUUGUAAGAGAAGAAUGACAUUGAGAGUAACUGUUCAAUGUGUGACGGUAUCUUACCAGAAAGGAACGGCUAAAUACGUG
This 487-nucleotide ribosomal RNA is filed under the name uncultured bacterium. Its description in RNAcentral is "bacterial SSU rRNA". It matches the Rfam family "Bacterial small subunit ribosomal RNA", at positions 50 to 507 of the family's 1533-position model. The record is from RNAcentral.